GGGGUUAUGGCUCAGCGGUAGAGCGCUCACCUGUCUCGUGUGAGGCCCUGGGUUCAAUCCUCAGAACUACA
Molecule: non-coding RNA, 71 nt
Organism: Ictidomys tridecemlineatus (thirteen-lined ground squirrel)
Lineage: Eukaryota; Metazoa; Chordata; Mammalia; Rodentia; Sciuridae
Source: Rfam